AAAAGCUCAAAUUUGAAAUCUGGCGUCUUUGGCGUCCGAGUUGAUUUUGAAAAAGGUAUCUUGGGGCCGGCUCCUGGUCUAUGUUCCUUGGAACAGGACGCCAAAGAGGGUGAGAAUCCCGGGCGAUGAGAGGACCCGGUCCGUGUAAAGUCCCUUCCACAAGCCAGGUGUUGGGGGAAUGGCAAUUC
Molecule: ribosomal RNA, 188 nt
Filed under: Candida albicans
Lineage: Eukaryota; Fungi; Ascomycota; Pichiomycetes; Serinales; Debaryomycetaceae
Description: partial 28S ribosomal RNA
Rfam family: Eukaryotic large subunit ribosomal RNA
Source: RNAcentral